This 460-nucleotide ribosomal RNA is filed under the name uncultured bacterium. RNAcentral's name for it is "partial 16S ribosomal RNA". It matches the Rfam family "Bacterial small subunit ribosomal RNA", at positions 338 to 795 of the family's 1533-position model. The record is from RNAcentral.
CCUACGGGUGGCAGCAGUGAGGAAUAUUGGUCAAUGGGCGCGAGCCUGAACCAGCCAAGUAGCGUGAAGGAUGACUGCCCUACGGGUUGUAAACUUCUUUUAUAAAGGAAUAAAGUGCGGCACGUGUGCCUUUUUGUAUGUACUUUAUGAAUAAGGAUCGGCUAACUCCGUGCCAGCAGCCGCGGUAAUCCGGAGGAUCCGAGCGUUAUCCGGGUUUAUUGGGGUUAAAGGGAGCGUAGAUGGGUUGUUAAGUCAGGUGUGAAAGUUUGCGGCUCAACCGUAAAAUUGCAAUUGAUACUGGCAGCCUUGAGUACAGUUGAGGUAGGCGGAAUUCGUGGUGUAGCGGUGAAAUGCUUAGAUAUCACGAAGAACUCCGAUUGCGAAGGCAGCUUACUAAACUGCAACUGACAUUGAUGCUCGAAAGUGUGGGUAUCAAACAGGAUUAGAUACCCCAGUAGUC